AAACAAAGAUUGAAAUAAAAACGAAACACUCGUCACUGCUCCGAAGCUAUGUACCCUCACAAACGUGGUAGCUACCAGGUUUUCCAUGCUGAUAAGUCUAAUCCAACACUCAAAGUAUCCCUUUGGCGAAUGCAACAAGGAAAAGACAACAUUUCAUCAGAAAAUUUCGACAAUCAAAGUGUGGCAUGUGAAACUGCUGGCCCUGUCGCCAUUAUGAUUAUCGAUGCCUUCCAUGAGAAAUCAUUUAACCAGUUGCUUCAAGAUGUUGCUGAAGAACCUGCUUUCUUGCCAUAUCAUAUAUGUUGACGGAGAUUCAGAAUGAGACAAAGAGUUUGAUAUAUGAUCCUACACCUGACAGAAAAAGUUGAGGAUCUUGGACCACUUUGGUGCUCAUCUUGUUUCUAUUUUGAGGAUUGUAAUGGAUAAUUGAGAUGCCUUUUCCAUGGCAUCCAACAUAUUGAAACCCAAAUAGCAUUUGCGGUUUGUGUUCAUCAGCAGCUACUGACGUUGUCCCAAGCUCUGAAGUUUGACAGCAGUGAAAGGGAACAGACAGGGUUGCUGUUAUUGGAGCCUAUGUAAAAGACCUUUGAAAUCUGAGGAACAGGCAGUCCUUUUGACCUUAGCUGGAGAGUAGGUCCGUGUGGUUUUCUUCAAAAGACUACUUGUGGACGAACAGGUUGAGACAACAAAAUAAUUCGAUUCAAGGAAACGUUCAUUGGGAGAUUAGAAACUUUUGUUAAAGUAACAGGACAUGACUACAAAUGAAAAACUUUGUUUUGUUUUCACAGUUCCUAACAGGAUUGAACAGGAAUAUAACAUGAACAAUGUUCAAUGUCCAGAACAGAGACAUCAUAUAACAGUCAAACCUUGUUUUGUGUCACAUUUACCAAUGAGAUUUGAAUAUAGAAAUAUUUUUUGAUACUUUUUUGGAAAAGACGUUUUUAUAUAUAUGCCUUAUCAAAAUCAAAUUAAUAAUUUGAUUUUGAUAGACUAUGCAUACCUAAAUUGAUGAAUAGUGUCUCUUUUAACAUGGAACAGAAGUCCAUAUGGACUUAUUUUUAAUAAAUACUGUGACAUAUCUCA
Ostrea edulis (European flat oyster) is the source of this 1083-nucleotide long non-coding RNA. RefSeq lists it as uncharacterized. Lineage: Eukaryota; Metazoa; Mollusca; Bivalvia; Ostreida; Ostreidae. The record is from RefSeq and is a predicted model, not a curated record. The transcript is spliced from 2 exons.